Long non-coding RNA from Prunus dulcis (almond), 561 nucleotides. RefSeq lists it as uncharacterized. The transcript has 2 exons. Lineage: Eukaryota; Viridiplantae; Streptophyta; Magnoliopsida; Rosales; Rosaceae. The record is from RefSeq and is a predicted model, not a curated record.
ACUCAUUUCACGAGCUCUAGUCUCUCAUCUUCAUCUUCAACCACAGUUUUCAGUUUUUGUUCUUCCAUUUCUUGUUUUGAAAUCACCUUUCUCUUUGGACUUUUUGGAUUGUUCGGAUGUCUAUGUCUCCUCUCCAUUAUUGGCUCUGACACUUUUUCAAGGGACCAAGCCUCAGCUCGCCAAAUCGGAUCAUCUCGACCUCUCCAAAUUCCAAUAUCAAAGGAACCUCUAUCUCGACAAGUCAUCGUCUUGGCGGAAACGACAGCCGAGGACCUCCCCGGUUGUUCUAGAGUACUGCACAACGCUAGUGACUUGUCUUCUUCAAUUGUGGAGGAAGAUGGAGAUUUCGCCGCAUCGUCAUCGUUGUUGUUUGGUUUGGACUUGGGAUUUUUGAUCUUUUGCUUCAAUUAUGUGUUUCUCUUCGGAUUUUAGUUAAUUUGAGGAAUGUAUUUUAAGCUUUGAUAAUCAAUUUAUCAUUACUAUUUAGGUUAUGGAUCUCAUUUUUGUUUAACAAUCUAUUUCUAUGAUAGAGUAUUAACAAGAUAGUUAUAUGACAUAGUA